This 301-nucleotide ribosomal RNA is filed under the name uncultured bacterium. RNAcentral describes it as "partial 16S ribosomal RNA". It matches the Rfam family "Bacterial small subunit ribosomal RNA", at positions 509 to 809 of the family's 1533-position model. The record is from RNAcentral.
CAGUCGCCACGGUAAAACGUAGGCGGCAAGCGUUGUCCGGAAUUAUUGGGCGUAAAGGGAGCGCAGGUGGGACGGUAAGUCCGUCUUAAAAGGCAGGGGCUCAGCCCCUGUAAGGGAUGGAAACUAUCGAUCUUGAGUGCCGGAGAGGAAAGCGGAAUUCCCAGUGUAGCGGUGAAAUGCGUAGAUAUUGGGAAGAACACCAGUGGCGAAGGCGGCUUUCUGGACGACAACUGACACUGAGGCUCGAAAGCCAGGGGAGCGAACGGGAUUAGAUACCCCAGUAGUCCCUGUCUCUUAUACA